This is a long non-coding RNA of Esox lucius (northern pike), 2936 nucleotides long. NCBI's taxonomy places the organism in Eukaryota, Metazoa, Chordata, Actinopteri, Esociformes, Esocidae. The record is from Ensembl.
CAUGUCCCAAUAGAAGAUUUUAAAGAAUUGGCCCUAUUUUUUUACACCACUUACAUUUUCCUUACACACCAUUUCAUACAUUUUACUAAACUUAUUAUCAUUUAAAUAAGGCAAUGUUAUAAAUCUCAGCAGUCCUUAAAAUGAGAUUCAGAAGAAAACUUUUUAAUAGUUGGCUGAGAAGGUGUGAUGAUACAGAGGAAAUGUGUAGUUAAAUGGAAUUAACUCUGAAUAACAAUAACAAAAUAUUCGCUCGUCUUGAGAUCCAAAUGAAAAUUCAGUCUACUCUGAGAUGAGGACAGUUCUACAAGUUGACAGUUAGUCACAUUUUAAUUUCUUUCUGUAAUUUUGGACAAAGAAGAGGCAAUAUGCUAAUUCACUUGAUUAUUUAACUGGAAAUGUCUCUUGUCUACAUGGUCUGGACCAGUCUAUGUGACCUAUGCUGAGAUUGACUUCAGAAAGAUGGUCAAAACCCAGAAGAAGAAGUAAGAAUGGGCCUCCCUCUUUACAUCUUUUCUCCUUUCAUAACCUCAUAUGUCUUUAACCCAUGUUGAAUAACUGGAUAAUAUUCUGUAUACAACAGAUACAUUCUUCUUCUGUUUAAUUCCCAUCUACCACAGAAUCAACACAGCCGCCAGAGUCAGAAUAAGUCAAUUCUCCAAGAAAGACAGUCACAGUCCACAGUCCUUGAGGGAGAUGAACACAAUCAGUUGAGGAGCAGGAACAACCAGGGAAUGUGAACUUUGCACACACACUCUUUCUGUAGCUGCAGACAUUACACAGAAAUGUGACACACCCAUCACACACCCAGUCACGUAUGGGCCACACACACAGACAUAUGUUAUUUUAAAUGACAUGGGGUAAUGAUAAUAGGGUAAUGAUAAUAGGGUAAUGAUAAAAGGGUAAUGAUAAUGGAUGUUAUUUUUUUAAAUGACAUGGGGUAAUGAUAAUAGAGUAAUGUUAAUGGAUUUAUUUUUUAAAUGACAUGGGGUAAUGAUAAUAGGGUAAUGAUAAUGGAUGUUAUUUUUUUAAAUGACAUGGGGUAAUGAUAAUAGGGUAAUGAUAAUGGAUGUUUUUUUUAAAUGACAUGGGGUAAUGAUAAUAGGGUAAUGAUAAUAGGGUAAUGAUAAUGGAUUUUAUUUUUUUUAAAUGACAUGGGGUAAUGAUAAUAGGGUAAUGAUAAUAAGGUAAUGAUAAUGGAUAAAAAAUGUUUUUAACGACAUGGGGUAAUGAUAAUGGGGUAAUGAUAAUGGAUUUUAUUUUUUUUAAAUGACAUGGGGUAAUGAUAACAGAGUAAUUUUUUUUAUCUUUGACUUCUUAAAUCAUUCAAAUAACUAAAUGAAAUAUCUGUAAACUAAUUUCUCAAAAUAGAAGAAUUAUCCAGUUUGUUUUCUUGCAAUGGUCUUCAUUUUCACAAUAUCGUUGCUUUUUCUUUUUAAAACAACUGUCAUUGACCAAAGUGCUGUCCAGGACAAAAUGGAAUCAGUUAAAACGUACUCUGAGCUUCAUAAAAAAAGUGAUUUUUACACUGACAAAAAAUAAAUGAAAAUAACUGGGCAUAGUUCACAAAACUCUAAGACAGAACUGUCAAUUGUCAUGCAGGUGACUUUAUGAUCGUCUUCACUCGUGCUGCUGCUUGAAGGGAUGCUGCUGCUUUUGAUGCCUUGAACAUAACUGGUUCAUCUGAAGCCAGCUCCCGUUAGGAAAUUGGUGCUUAGCUAGGUUCAAAUUUUCAUUGCAAUGGAACAUUGUUACAAAAUAAUGCAUGUUUCACAGAAAGAUGUUUGUCUGGAUUUGACAUCUUCAGCGUAUAAUGUUCUGUGGAAGGGAGUGUCAUGGAAAUAAAGUACAUUCUAGUGAAUCCCAAACAAGCCCCACUGUCCUAUGCACGUUAUUUCAGUGCCAUCCGCAGCACUUUGUCGUUAAUAUAGCUCUGAGUGGUGUCUACGUGUUCAUUUGGGAUUGUACCUGUGUUGGCAUGAAAAUUGUAGAGGGGAUCUGGGAUUGAACUUUGGUUGUCCAACAGGGGAGAGAUUUAAUCAAAACACUGAAAGCAAACCUGGUGACUGUUUUUUGCAGAGCAUUCACAUGUUCGUUGUGCAUAACUGUCAAUGUGAUAAUGUCAUUGUCAAUAACAAUCAGUGCAAUCACCACACCUGAAUGUGUUACCAAAUUGUGUAGCUUUUCCAAUAAAAUGGGUGGGUAUGAAAAGGCAUGCAAUUGCAAUGUGUAAUGAAGCACAAUGGCUGCUUUGGCGCUGUUGGAAGAUUUGGCGAAUGGAAGAAUUUGGAGAGAUCAAAUAAUACCAGCAAGUCGUUGAGCUCCGGUGUCCCUUUCCCCGCCUGUGGCACAAACACUUUGUCUGUGUAAUGCGAUAGGCUUUUAGGCCUCCACCUCAAUGUCACACCACUUCUUUUUAAUAUCUGGGAUGGUCCAACCUUCUGAACCUGCCGCAUUCACCACAUGCUGCCACUCUAACGCCUUUUUGGCAUUUGUAAUGCCCACACUGUCAACCAAACAAUAUAUUUUGUUGUUGUUCAACCCCUACAAGAACUUCAAUUUCACACUAGGUGAAAUUCCUUUUUUUAGGUUUUAUGUUGGGAUUUGCCGUCGCUGCGGUAAUGGAGUCAGUAUCGAUUAAUAUUAAUUCAGGGUGUUUCAGUGACCAUGUAUGGGCAAUAAUGGGUCAUAAACAUGAAACCAUUAAAAUACAAUGGCAGUAAUGAUUUUAAAUAUAAAACAUGUAAUUAGGUAAUACAACAUAAAAUACGAUAAUAAAGCUAAUAGUAUUCUCUAUCUUACAGUAAGAGUUAUUUCAACAUAGGAAUUAAUAAUUUUUGCAUUGUAUUGCAUUUUAUGCUGAUAUUCUCAUUAACGCAAUGCGUCCAGCUCUGUCUGAAUGUAUGUUGUGUUGUAAUUUAAACAGAAUAAAUUAUCCA